Molecule: ribosomal RNA, 468 nt
Filed under: uncultured bacterium
Lineage: Bacteria
Description: partial 16S ribosomal RNA
Rfam family: Bacterial small subunit ribosomal RNA
Source: RNAcentral
GACGAACGCUGGCGGCGUGCUUAACACAUGCAAGUCGAACGGAAAGGCCCUGCUUUUGUGGGGUGCUCGAGUGGCGAACGGGUGAGUAACACGUGAGUAACCUGCCCUUGACUUUGGGAUAACUUCAGGAAACUGGGGCUAAUACCGGAUAGGAGCUCCUGCUGCAUGGUGGGGGUUGGAAAGUUUCGGCGGUUGGGGAUGGACUCGCGGCUUAUCAGCUUGUUGGUGGGGUAGUGGCUUACCAAGGCUUUGACGGGUAGCCGGCCUGAGAGGGUGAGCGGACACAUUGGGACUGAGAUAAGGCCCAGACUCCUACGGGAGGCAGCAGUGGGGAAUAUUGCACAAUGGGCGGAAGCCUGAUGCAGCAACGCCGCGUGCGGGAUGACGGCCUUCGGGUUGUAAACCGCUUUCGCCUGUGACGAAGCGUGAGUGACGGUAAUGGGUAAAGAAGCACCGGCUAACUACGUG